AUGAAAGUUUAAAAGCAUAAAAUUGGUUUUCUGAACUGAUUGUAUGUGUUUUCUUUUGGUGAUUACUGAUUUUUAAACCAUUUACUGAGUGUUUGUUGGUGUUCUUGUGCUUAUUUUAGUACUAAUAAACAAUUUUAAGUAUCUCUGCUUCGAGUGUAGCUUAUAAUUAUGUUGUUAUAUCCAAAAAAGGGUUGGACGUGACAUUUCAUAGGUUUCCGAGAAAUUGAAUUAAAUGGGUAAUGGAAAUAUGGAGUAAAGACAAAAAACCUUCUGCCACAACCGUAAUAUGUAGUAAUCACUUCAAAACAGAGGACUAUUAUGUCAAUCCCCAUAUGGAACCAAAGUUUUGAAGGAAGGAGCCAUACAAUUAUGAUAUUGAGAACAUGUGUUACUAAAAUAAUAAUGAAUACUAUACAGCAAAUUCCUGCCAUUCAUAAAUACGGAGUUAUGAAUUUUUGACCAUGUUAUUCCAGUUUUGAAGCCCUGAUUCGAAUCUCUUCGUCGGAUGUUAAUCAUAAUUUUUUUUAUAUUGAUAUUUAUUAUAUGUUUUUUUUUCCAAAAUUUGCAGUACUUUUUUAAACCGUUAGAGUAGAGGAAGAUGUAUACUUAUGGAACGUAAGGCUGAAUUUGUCCUUUAAUAGGAAAAAUAUGGCACUUUCAUUCCCAAUAACACUCACUAUUUUAUUUCCUCAGUCUAUUUCUAAAAAUAUUUGGACUAUUUUUUCAGAAGAUAAAAUAUAUAAAAUUUCAUAAAUUUUCUGUUGUGUUUUUACUUAU
Long non-coding RNA from Harmonia axyridis, 777 nucleotides. RefSeq lists it as uncharacterized. NCBI's taxonomy places the organism in Eukaryota, Metazoa, Arthropoda, Insecta, Coleoptera, Coccinellidae. The record is from RefSeq and is a predicted model, not a curated record. The transcript has 2 exons.